RNAcentral lists this unclassified non-coding RNA (39 nucleotides) under Mus musculus (house mouse). RNAcentral describes it as "oocyte_clustered_small_RNA6071". Lineage: Eukaryota; Metazoa; Chordata; Mammalia; Rodentia; Muridae. The record is from RNAcentral.
UUCAUCACCAAAGGAUGCAGUACUAGAACUCAAGCAGGU